CUAAUAAAAUUUAUCAUUCUGAACCAUGCCAGCGGCCGUUUUAAAGGAAAAAAAAGGUUGUAAAAGAAGAGGAUAACUAUUCAAGGAUUACGAAGAAAGUGCUUAUUUAACUUUGCAAAGAUCACAAAUUAUACAGAACAUCAUAUUUAAAUGAUGUUCUUUGCCUUCAUUAUAAAGGGUUUGCAAGGAUAGAAAACCUUGAGGAGUACACAGGCUUAAAAUGCUUAUGGUUGGAAUGUAAUGGAAUUCACAAGAUUGAAAACCUGGACAAUCAGAAAGAGUUGUGAUGCCUUUACCUGCAGCAGAAUAUCAUAUCAAAGAUAGAGAAUGUGGAACAUCUACAACAGCUGGAUACUCUUAAUGUCAGCAAUAACACCAUUUCCAAAAUUGAAAACAUUGGUGUCAUACCCAAACUUAGCACUUUACAGAUAUCGCACAACCGUUUAUCAACUGCUGAUGACUUGAGACAUUUGUCAGAAUGUUCUAAUCUGAGAGUUCUCGAUGUUUCCUACAACCGGAUUGAUGACCCUGAUGUCGUGAAAGUCUUUGAAUCCAUGGAAAACCUCCAUGUUCUUAACAUGAUGGGCAACCCGGUCAGAAGAUCAAGAAUUACCGGAAAGUAUUCAUCAUCAAAAUUAUAAGUGAACAAUGAAAGGUCUCAGAUACCUUGAUGACAGACCAGUUUUUCCUAGAGAAAGAGCUUGUGCUGAGGCAUGGGAAAAAAAAGGAGUGGAGGCUGUCCGGGAAGAAAGAGAGAGAUG
Long non-coding RNA from Stylophora pistillata, 761 nucleotides. Lineage: Eukaryota; Metazoa; Cnidaria; Anthozoa; Scleractinia; Pocilloporidae. The record is from RefSeq and is a predicted model, not a curated record.